RNAcentral lists this long non-coding RNA (1352 nucleotides) under Chinchilla lanigera (long-tailed chinchilla). RNAcentral describes it as "lncRNA (ENSCLAG00000024135.1)". The record is from RNAcentral. Lineage: Eukaryota; Metazoa; Chordata; Mammalia; Rodentia; Chinchillidae.
CUUUGCAGCACUGGGAAUGGCUCUGUCUUUGCUGGUGUAGCUGCUCCCAAGCACAACUGUCCUGUCUGGGAGCUUCUGAAUGCUUCUCUCCCUGCUACUCUUUCUCCAUACCCAGGACCUAGCAGGCUUGAUCAGCCACAAGAACAAGAGCCCUAGAAUCUGUCUGCGGAAGAGGUCCCGGAGAGCUGAUCCCCCAGCACUGGAACCCUGCAAAAACCCACAGACACAGGUGCCAUCCAUAAACCUGGGAUGCAGGCUGCUGGAGCUGAGCUGCAGAGAGGCUGGCUGUCCCAGUGACAGGCUCCCACCAUUCCUCUGUGCUGCUGCUAGUUCCACUUCCCUGUUGCUGCUGCUCAGUUGGCCAGUGAAUGAGCUGAGGAAUUCUGCCCGAGAUCCACAGUCCUUCUCUUCCCAGCGAGACGAACGUUAACAGCAAGCCAGGAAGGCAAGGUACAGAGAUGCUGACACAUAGACAUGAGAUCCGGGGUCAAAUUUUGGAGCCUGACAUCUUCAAGAAGAAAAAUGGAAACACUGCUAAGUGUUCACACUUUCCCUGUGAAAGCACAGAAACAACACUCCCAAGCCCAGGUGAAGAGAAAGGUGAUUCUUUCCGUACAUAAGAAACACCGUGGGUAGGAUAUCAUUCCGGGGACAAUUGAUUCCAUUUAUCAUUGCAAAUUGCAGAAAGGGUGGAAAUACACUUUCCCUCCCCUCUCCUCCCUUUGGGCACAGAAGAAGUAAGUCAGCGUUUGCUUUUUCCUAAGAAACAGGUGCAGCAGCAAUGAAUUCAAACAUCUCUCUGCUGGUUGGCUUGUGGUCCACUCAAGCUCCCUGGUGUCUGGUUCAAUAUUCCCCACCUGCUCUGGGGGUGGGGCUGAGUAUGGUGACAAGUGUCUCUCUUCUGCAAUAAGUGUUGUUUAAAAUGUAUACGGGCCUGGGUUGUUAGCUUUGCAGCUAGUGGUGUGCAAGUGGGGAGAGGAGGACAGUCUUACAGAGGUGAAAAGUACCUCUAGAAUUAGGCCCCUUUUUCCUCUUUCUGUCUCAUUGUCCUGCACCCCCCAAUAGCGGAUACACUAACUGCCUGGGAGAAGCAGUCAAUCUCUGGUCUGGACAGGAAUUCAGCCUUUGAGGGAAUGUCACAAAUAAUCCUCUUUGAGUCUUAGUGGUGAAAACAGAGCCUGGGGGUAGCGGCUUUUAGUAGCAGAGUUGGAAUGAGCCCCAGGGGAGCAAUGGGAAACACAGGAGGAGGGGUGCAGAGCUCCCUUGUGAGCAAAAGGCCCAGCAGCCUGUCAUCACUGAUCUGUCCUCAGGCCUACAUCAUUCAGGCUCUCAAGGAAAUUGGGAUACUUCAC